UACGUAGGGUGCGAGCGUUAAUCGGAAUUACUGGGCGUAAAGCGUGCGUAGGCGGUUGGCAAAGUCAGCUGUGAAAGCCCCGGGCUUAACCUGGGAAUGGCAGUGGAAACUGGGGGACUUGAAUUGAGCAGAGGGGGGUGGAAUUCCGCGUGUAGCAGUGAAAUGCGUAGAGAUGCGGAGGAACACCGAUGGCGAAGGCAGCCCCCUGGGCCAACACUGACGCUCAGGCACGAAAGCGUGGGGAGCAAACAGG
Molecule: ribosomal RNA, 253 nt
Filed under: uncultured bacterium
Lineage: Bacteria
Description: partial 16S ribosomal RNA
Rfam family: Bacterial small subunit ribosomal RNA
Source: RNAcentral